Molecule: long non-coding RNA, 300 nt
Filed under: Medicago truncatula (barrel medic)
Lineage: Eukaryota; Viridiplantae; Streptophyta; Magnoliopsida; Fabales; Fabaceae
Description: long non-coding RNA (MTRU_LNC003752)
Source: RNAcentral
UCCCUAUCACCUUCCUUACAUAUAUGAUUGCUUCCUUCCAAUCUGAGGUGGUCGUGGUCCCUAAUGCAUCAUUAGCUGAGGUUGUAGGAAAGUUCAUGAGUAGUCACUCUGUAGGACACACAUUCCACUUUAAUCUUUAACAUACACAUUUUGUCGGUGUGUAGGAGCUGCAAAGAGAAAGAUUGCAUAAAGCCAUAAAUAAGCCAUAAAUUUAAAAUAACUAAUUUUUGUUUAGGACGAACCUUCCUACCCUAUAGUACUCUGCAUAAAUCAUACACAUGAGACAAUGAUCAUUGUCAC